CGAAAAUCAACACAGUCACUCUUAAGAAGAACCAGCUAUUUUUUCAUUUUUUUUGUUAAUUGUCUUGAUCUUUUUUUUAUUUUGCAACUUGUCUGUUGCUGUUGUUUUCUGUUGUUUUGCUUAGGUUUGAUUAUUCUGUUCUGUUAUUGUUGUUUCUAUUCUAUUGCCUUAUGGAAAAUAAUUGUGAAGUCAUAAUGACGAAAUUUGUAUAAAUCUAGUUUUAUAAUAGGUUGUGUUGUUAGGUUAUCUACUUCUGAAUUUGGUAUUUAACCUAGUUAAUCAAAUGAACAUUUUUAUCAUGUUAAAAUUGCUAGAGGCCUAGCAGGCCUACUCAAACUUUUAAUUAAUUGUAGUCCUAGCGAACUCAGCCCCGUCUAGCUUCUAGGUUUUUAUUGAUAACAAAUAAUUUGCAUGUUAGUCUAGCUUUUAUCUGCAAGUUGACUGGUAGGCCUAGCUCUAAAACAAUCUCAGUUAAAAUAUCUUAACAGCAUUGUACUUCUGUUGAGAAAGAGUUAACAACUUAUUAAAAUCAUAGGUUAGUGGUCAGUUUUGGUUAACUUCUUACUGUAAAGCCCUCAUUUUAUUAGUAUAGGCUUCAAGAAACCCAUUAUUAACAUUAAGUUACCAACAUACUUUUCAUUAAAGAACUGGACCUAGGUAUUAGCCUAAUUCCUUUGUAAAUUUAUAUAAGUAAGGAAUGUGAAUUCCAAGUCUAAAAAUAAAGUUUCAACUUAAAUGUUAACCAUCAUAGGCUAGGCCUAUCUUAUACGGCAAAAUUAAGUGUCAUUCGUGUGGUAAAAAUAGGCCUACCCUAGUUUAAUAAUCUGAUCAAGGUAGGGUUAUGUACCUAUACUUAAAUUUAAUAGGGUUUUACAUGAGCUUUUUUGGGAAGACAAAUUUCAAACCCACUUAGGCUGUGAUGCUGUUUUAUGGGUUUUCUUAAUAAAAUAAGAAAGGGGUUUCCUGACUUGUUUGAACACCAAUAUUUUAAGUAUCAAUAGAAACUUUAAAUGGCUACCAUUUCACAACGGGUGAACCUUAUGAGACAUGGUUUCCGACAUUGAUCCCACUUAACCAGCCCUGUAAAAUGAUGUGCAUAUUUACCUUUGCUUAACUUACCCUACAUUUAAGAUUUUGUAGGCCUACUUAAGGACGUACUCCCCAUGGGCCGUCCCCCCGUGGAGGUAAAACAAUGGUAAUGCUAGUAAAAAGUAGUUUUUAUACAUAGGCCUAGGCCUAUAUGUAGUUAAAUUGCAAAGUUUUAAUUUUCCAACCAAUUUGGUUAAAAAGAUAUUUAACUCAAGAGGUGUCCAGACCUUUUGAACAUCCAGUAUAAGAAUUGAUAGGCUAAGUUAAUACAAUGGUGUCGGAUAUGAAAGUUUUGCCAAAUCUAUCUUAUACAAGUAAAACUUAAGUAAGUUAACUUAUAUUAGGCCUACUUAAAAAAUAAAUAAAUUUAACAAAACUACAAAUAAAUAACCAACAAAUAGGCUUUAACCAAUGUAAGAACUAGAUUCAGGUACACGUAAACGUUAGAAAAGUAGGUUAACUUAGUUAUAGGCUUACCAGUCUAUCCUGAAGUGUUGCUAGCCUACUUUUAUGUGCUUAUGGAAAGAAAUAAUUUGUUUUACUGUAUUCUUUGAUCUUGUAUAAUACAUUAUUAAGACAUUAACAGAUGCAGCUUUCUAGGUUAACUUAUACGAGCCUUAAUGUGUUGUUUGAUGGUAGUUGCUGAUUUUAAAUUUUGCGGGAUAUUUUUAUUACUUCUACCAAGUGUUUACUACUGUGUAACUCAAAAUUACCAAUCUGACGACUUCAAGCAAAUGCUAAAACAAUACCUUUCCUUAAAAUUACUCUUGUUGUCGUUUGGUUUAAAUCGACCUGAUGAUUUUAAUACCUUUCUUUCAGAUGAAACAAGAAUGAAGAAACUGAGUCCAAUCUCUACAGCAUCACAAAUAUCAUCAAUGUUUAUUUUGUUUGGAAAUAGAUAAAUAUAUGUGACUUAUAUAUGCCUCUGACGGACCAGUCUAUUUGACCUGGUGGUUUUUGGUGGUAUUUUGUGCUAAUGUGUGGUUUCAACGCAAGUUGAAGCCUAUAUAAGUUACCCGUACUUUGUGAUUGAUUAGAGUGACUAUCUUAAAGUUUUGAGAUUUAUGUUAGAAUCUUAAUAAGUACUGGGAUUUAAAGAAUUUGCACCUACAAAAUUUAAAAAACAAAUUAUAUAACCCUUACUUUUUUUGUUAGACCACAUUUUGUAUGUGCUCGAUGGAAUUGUGAUCACAAGGUCUAUAUCUAUAUAAUCCUUAGACCUAGCGCUGUCCAGUUGCUAAAAUACUGAUUAGAUUCGGACUUCUAAAACUGUUCUUGCUGGCUUAUUGAAUAAAAUGUCGCUUUUAUUAAAUUUACCUCUUGGCUCAUUGGACCUUUCAAUACUGGUUGUAGACCAAAGAACCAGUUUGUAAUUGUGAGGCCAAACUACAAAAGACUUGUCACUCACACUCAUUAAACACUUGUUUCACUUUUUAUAGGUACCUUGUUAGAAAUUUGCCCAAGAUACAUUACCAACUUAUUUUCAAGAACUUUUAAUUGGAGUUUUGUAAAACCUUGAAUUUGUAGUAGCUACUAGAAGAAACUUGUUGUCAUUAGCUUUUUAAACAUAUUUAAUUAAGCUUUAUUAUGUUAUUACUUUAACAUAGGGAUGGGAUGUGUAGUUCUAUUAAUACUCGUUAAACUUAGCUUAACUGUAGACCUAAGUUAAAGUUAUCCCUAGUUUUUAAUCAAAAUUACGUAGUUGAAGUGAGCCAUUGACAGAUCAAACCGAUGUAAAUUGCUGAUUUAUGUCGCAAAUGCAGACUUUUUCCAUCUCAAACUGAUAGGAUGCCUUAUUGUCAGCUGUAGCAUCUUAUAUGUCACGUCAACUAUCUCGGUAACUAUUAUAAGGUAGAAAAAUAAUUAAAAUGUAAAGUAUAUUCUUCACCAGUCAACUCAACCUUUCUCGUUUACUUUGCACAAGAUGUUCUUGUUGCAAAGUAUGUUCUUGUUGUUGUUCUAUGUUACUUAUUUUACAUAAAAAGGUUUAAAGAAAGUGUGUUGUUUUAUUUACAAGUCCAAUUUCAUUUUCAGUUAACAUUUUUUUAAACUGUUCACACUGGUUUCUUCAUCACACAGGUAAGACAGUUAUCAUACUAUACAAUUACUUAUAAAAAGAAACUUUAUCUAUAAAGCUCACUAAUAAUAACCAAUGGUUACGGGAUAGAUUUCCUUCAUCGCAUAUAUAUUAAGGCUUAUAUACUAUCUGCUUUUGGUUAAAGUAUAUUUUAACGGUAGGCCUAUUGUAAUUGAUGCUGGUGAGUGUAUCUAAUUAAACCUUUUUUAAUUGUAGUGCGAGAAUUUCAACCUCCAAACUGGACUGUGCAACAUAAACUGAAAACCCCCUCAAAAGAUAAAGCUGUGGUCAAUCCUCAUUGGCUAGAAGGAUCAAAAGAGCCUGUACAACAAGAUGCCCUUGCACUGGUGAAAAAGCCUUCACCAGCCACAGAGGAGAAGAAGCCACAUAUCAAGAGACCCAUGAAUGCAUUCAUAGUCUGGGCCAAGGGCGAGAGACAGAAGAUUCUUAAGGCUAACCCCAACAUGCACAACUCUGUCAUAUCCAAAAUUCUUGGUGCUAGAUGGAAAGAGAUGUCUGACUAUGAGAAGCAACCGUUUUAUGAGGAACAGAAAAGAUUGAUGAGAGUUCACAUGGAACAGCAUCCGGACUACAGGUACAGACCUCGACACAAACGUUCUCACAUCAG
Macrosteles quadrilineatus (aster leafhopper) is the source of this 3794-nucleotide long non-coding RNA. RefSeq lists it as uncharacterized. Lineage: Eukaryota; Metazoa; Arthropoda; Insecta; Hemiptera; Cicadellidae. The record is from RefSeq and is a predicted model, not a curated record. The transcript has 4 exons.